This 632-nucleotide ribosomal RNA is filed under the name Echinococcus granulosus. RNAcentral's name for it is "partial 12S ribosomal RNA". The stretch from base 315 to 467 matches the Rfam family "Archaeal large subunit ribosomal RNA", at positions 1887 to 2086 of the family's 2987-position model. Lineage: Eukaryota; Metazoa; Platyhelminthes; Cestoda; Cyclophyllidea; Taeniidae. The record is from RNAcentral.
UGUUGUUUGGCCUGGGUAAGGUCUUGUAAACUAAAUUUAUGUGGUGAUAAGUGAGUCGUAAAGCUUUAUAACUGUUUGGUUGUUUAGAAUUUAGUGGGAUGUAGGUGGCUAUUAGGUCAUUUAUAUUUUUAUACAUUUGGUGAUGUGUGGUUUUUGAUAAGGUUAGAGGUACCUAGUUUUUGUUAUAUUGUUGUAAAUAUGGUUUUGUUGGUUUAUUGGUAUGUUAAUUGUUUGAACAACUGUUUUGCUAUAUUUGGUUAUUAUAUUAUCGUUGAAUAAGUAAUUUUAUUAUGCUAUUUAUUUCUUGAGUUCUUUCCGUCUGUUUAUUAAAAACAUUUCUAAUUUUAAUUGUAGUUAGUAGUGCCUGCCCAAUGUUGGUUAAUUAAUGGCCGCAGUAUAUUGACUGUGCAAAGGUAGCAUAAUUAAUUGCCUUUUAAUUGGAGGCUUGUUUGAAUGGUUUGACGUGAUUGGUAUGAAUAUUUGGUAUUUAGUUGAAAUUGAUUUUGAGGGUUUAGAAUCCUUGAUGUUUAAUAAGACGGAAAGACCCUAGGAUCUUUUGUUUUUGUUUGGGGCAAAUAUUGUUGUUUUAUGAAUAUUGUGACCCUGAGAUGAUAUUGGUUUAUUGGGUUAAG